This 557-nucleotide long non-coding RNA is filed under the name Lactuca sativa (garden lettuce). Its description in RNAcentral is "long non-coding RNA (LSAT_LNC003892)". The record is from RNAcentral. Lineage: Eukaryota; Viridiplantae; Streptophyta; Magnoliopsida; Asterales; Asteraceae.
GUUGAUGUAAGGCCUCUUUUUGUUGGCCGUUUUUCCCGAACUUGUUACAUCUGUAAUUCCAGUAAUAUUGACAGGUACCUAAUCUUAUGGGAGUUAUUAUCCAAAUGUGUUCAUCUAUUAAGUUCUAGAUGUACAUUCAAUCGUAUUUUUGGGCUAUGAAGAGUUAGUCCAUGAGUCAUUUUCAUCAAUUCUUCCAUUAAAUGUUUAUCAAUGUUUUCAUCUUCAUAAACUUUUAGAUCAAAGAUGCCGCCUCGCAGAAAUCCAAGGGGAAACCCUAAUAAUGAAACACCGACACCACCUACUCCUCAGUUCGAUACGACAAUCCUAAAUGCUGAUGUAGCUGCAGUUGUGGCUACAACCAUGGCUCAAUAUCAUUCGUCUGGUUCCACUAGAGGAGGAACCCUUGUCCUGUCUACUCAUGGUGAAAUCCCGGGCGCUUGAAAGAGUGCUCCUACAANCCGGUGCGUUGGAAAGAGUGCUCCUACAAGGACUUCACCAACUGCAAGCCAUUGUCCUUCAAGGGGACUGGCGGAGUCAUUGCCCUCUCGCAAUGGUUC